CCUACGGGAGGCAGCAGUGAGGAAUAUUGGUCAAUGGGCGCGAGCCUGAACCAGCCAAGUAGCGUGAAGGAUGACUGCCCUACGGGUUGUAAACUUCUUUUAUAAAGGAAUAAAGUGAGGCACGAGUGCCUUUUUGUAAGUACUUUAUGAAUAAGGAUCGGCUAACUCCGUGCCAGCAGCCGCGGUAAUACGGAGGAUCCGAGCGUUAUCCGGAUUUAUUGGGUUUAAAGGGAGCGUAGAUGGGUUGUUAAGUGGGUUGUGAAAGUUUGCGGCUCAACCGUAAAAUUGCAAUUGAAACUGGCAGUCUAGAGUACAGUUGAGGUAGGCGGAAUUCGUGGUGUAGCGGUGAAAUGCUUAGAUAUCACGAAGAACACCGAUUGCGAAGGCAGCUUACUAAACUGCCACUGACGUUGAUGCACGAAGGUGUGGGUAGCGAACAGGAUUAGAUACCCUAGUAGUC
Molecule: ribosomal RNA, 460 nt
Filed under: uncultured bacterium
Lineage: Bacteria
Description: partial 16S ribosomal RNA
Rfam family: Bacterial small subunit ribosomal RNA
Source: RNAcentral